This 75-nucleotide transfer RNA is filed under the name Schistocerca americana (American grasshopper). Its description in RNAcentral is "tRNA-Thr". It matches the Rfam family "tRNA". From Rfam's summary of the family: Transfer RNA (tRNA) molecules are approximately 80 nucleotides in length. Their secondary structure includes four short double-helical elements and three loops (D, anti-codon, and T loops). The record is from RNAcentral. Lineage: Eukaryota; Metazoa; Arthropoda; Insecta; Orthoptera; Acrididae.
GUCGUCGGUGGCUCAGAUGGAUAGAGCGUCUGCCAUGUAAGCAGAAGAUCCCGGGUUCGAGUCCCGGUCGGGGCA